GACGAACGCUGGCGGCGUGCUUAACACAUGCAAGUCGAACGGAAAGGCCCUGCUUUUGUGGGGUGCUCGAGUGGCGAACUGGUGAGUAACACGUGAGUAACCUGCCCUUGACUUUGGGAUAACUUCAGGAAACUUGGGCUAAUACCGGAUAGGAGCUCCUGCUGCAUGGUGGGGGUUGGAAAGUUUCGGCGGUUGGGGAUGGACUCGCGGCUUAUCAGCUUGUUGGUGGGGUAGUGGAUUACCAAGGCUUUGACGGGUAGCCGGCCUGAGAGGGUGACCGGCCACAUUAGGACUGAGAUACGGCCCAGACUCCUACGGGAGGCAGCAGUGGGGAAUAUUGCACAAUGGGCGGAAGCCUGAUGCAGCAACGCCGCGUGCGGGAUGACGGCCUGCGGGUUGUAAACCGCUUUCGCCUGUGACGAAGCGUGAGUGACGGUAAUGGGUAAAGAAGCACCGGCUAACUACGUG
Molecule: ribosomal RNA, 468 nt
Filed under: uncultured bacterium
Lineage: Bacteria
Description: partial 16S ribosomal RNA
Rfam family: Bacterial small subunit ribosomal RNA
Source: RNAcentral